RNAcentral lists this long non-coding RNA (549 nucleotides) under Manihot esculenta (cassava). RNAcentral's name for it is "long non-coding RNA (MESC_LNC003676)". The record is from RNAcentral. Lineage: Eukaryota; Viridiplantae; Streptophyta; Magnoliopsida; Malpighiales; Euphorbiaceae.
CCGCCAUCAAAAGGUUCGCCGCCAUCAACGGUUCGCCGCCAUCGACAGUCGACAACGGAGCUUAUUCUCAGCAUCAAUAUCCACGGGCUCACUGAAAUCGGAACUUGGGUCCAACCUCUCGGCCGUUCACUGCCCUGUUCAUCCAACGUCCACCGCCAUCAAAAGGUUCGCCGCCAUUUAUGCUUGUUUAAUUUUUUGUAUUUUUUUGCUUGUUUAAUUUUUUGCUUGUUUAAUUUUUUGCUUGUUAAUUUUUUGCUUGUUAAUUUUAUGAUACAUUUAUGCUUGUUUUAUUUCUUUGCUCAACCCGUUCCCAUCAUAGAUUUUUUUUUCAAGACCGUCACAGUUUCCUUGCAUUUUGACAUUGCACCUGCUGGUGCACUUGGCAAGUGCACCAGCAGGUGCAUUUUCACAUUGCACCUGCUGGUGCACUUGCCAAGUGCACCAGCAGGUGCACAAUUGGAAAUGCACCUGCUGGUGCACUUCCAAGUGCACCAGCAGGUGCACAAUUUAAAUUGCACCUGCUGGUGCACUUGCCAAGUGCACCAGCAG